This 21-nucleotide small nuclear RNA is filed under the name Arabidopsis thaliana (thale cress). RNAcentral's name for it is "snRNA_18210". Lineage: Eukaryota; Viridiplantae; Streptophyta; Magnoliopsida; Brassicales; Brassicaceae. The record is from RNAcentral.
GCCCUUUGUCGCUAAGAUUCG